Rhinolophus ferrumequinum (greater horseshoe bat) is the source of this 161-nucleotide small nuclear RNA. Its record names the gene U1. It matches the Rfam family "U1 spliceosomal RNA". Rfam says of the family: U1 is a small nuclear RNA (snRNA) component of the spliceosome (involved in pre-mRNA splicing). Its 5' end forms complementary base pairs with the 5' splice junction, thus defining the 5' donor site of an intron. The record is from Ensembl. NCBI's taxonomy places the organism in Eukaryota, Metazoa, Chordata, Mammalia, Chiroptera, Rhinolophidae.
AUACUUCCCUGUCAUGGGAGAUACCAUGAUUAAGAAGGUGGUUUUGACAGGGCGAGGCUUAUCCAUUGCACUCUGGAUGUGCUGAUCCCUGCAGUUUUCCCAAAUGUGGGAAACUCAGCUGCAUAAUUUGUGGUAGCGGGAACUGCAUUCGUACUUUCCUC